RNAcentral lists this ribosomal RNA (253 nucleotides) under uncultured bacterium. RNAcentral describes it as "partial 16S ribosomal RNA". It matches the Rfam family "Bacterial small subunit ribosomal RNA", at positions 524 to 776 of the family's 1533-position model. The record is from RNAcentral.
UACGUAGGGGGCGAGCGUUGUCCGGAUUUAUUGGGCGUAAAGGGCGCGCAGGCGGCCCGGCAAGUCGGAUGUGAAAACUCGGGGCUCAACCCCGAGCGUGCACCCGAUACUGCCGGGCUUGAGGCAGGUAGGGGAGAUCGGAAUUCCUGGUGUAGCGGUGAAAUGCGCAGAUAUCAGGAGGAACCCCGGUGGCGAAGGCGGAUCUCUGGGCCUGUCCUGACGCUGAGGCGCGAAAGCUAGGGGAGCGAACAGG